GAUGAACGCUGGCGGCGUGCCUAAUACAUGCAAGUCGAGCGAACAGACGAGGAGCUUGCUCCUCUGACGUUAGCGGCGGACGGGUGAGUAACACGUGGAUAACCUACCUAUAAGACUGGGAUAACUUCGGGAAACCGGAGCUAAUACCGGAUAAUAUAUUGAACCGCAUGGUUCAAUAGUGAAAGACGGUUUUGCUGUCACUUAUAGAUGGAUCCGCGCGGCAUUAGCUAGUUGGUAAGGUAACGGCUUACCAAGGCGACGAUGCGUAGCCGACGUGAGGGGGGGUAGGCCCACAGAGAGGCUGAGAGGCGACCCAGCCACUGACGGAAGGCACAGGGGGGGAAGCGCGGGAGAAGGGCGGAAGACUGACGAAGCAGGGGCGGGUGGAUGAAGAAGGGCUUCGGGUGGGAUAACUGUUUUAUGGGGGAAAAAAAAGUUUGAAAAUAACGAAGCCUUGUGUGACGGUACUGAGUAAAGAAGCAACGGCUAACUACGUG
Molecule: ribosomal RNA, 497 nt
Filed under: uncultured bacterium
Lineage: Bacteria
Description: partial 16S ribosomal RNA
Rfam family: Bacterial small subunit ribosomal RNA
Source: RNAcentral